CCUACGGGAGGCAGCAGUGAGGAAUAUUGGUCAAUGGGCGCGAGCCUGAACCAGCCAAGUAGCGUGAAGGAUGACUGCCCUACGGGUUGUAAACUUCUUUUAUAAAGGAAUAAAGUGAGGCACGUGUGCCUUUUUGUAUGUACUUUAUGAAUAAGGAUCGGCUAACUCCGUGCCAGCAGCCGCGGUAAUACGGAGGAUCCGAGCGUUAUCCGGAUUUAUUGGGUUUAAAGGGAGCGUAGAUGGGUUGUUAAGUCAGUUGUGAAAGUUUGCGGCUAAACCGGAAAAUUGCAAUUGAUACUGGCAGCCUUGAGUACAGUUGAGGUAGGCGGAAUUCGUGGUGUAGCGGUGAAAUGCUUAGAUAUCACGAAGAACCCCGAUUGCGAAGGCAGCUUACUAAACUGUGACUGACAUUGAUGCUCGAAAGUGUGGGUAUCAAACAGGAUUAGAUACCCUGGUAGUC
Molecule: ribosomal RNA, 460 nt
Filed under: uncultured bacterium
Lineage: Bacteria
Description: partial 16S ribosomal RNA
Rfam family: Bacterial small subunit ribosomal RNA
Source: RNAcentral